CUUGUUUGUUUUAAUGUGUGGGUGUAUGUACAUAUGCACAUGGGGGCACAAAUUUGUGCAGGUGCAUGAAUGUGGGGUGUGCUUGAGAGACAGAGGACAACCUCAAGUGCCAGCCUCAGGAACUCUUUGAGAUGCGAUCUCUCGCUGGUCUGGAGCUCACUAGCUCAGGCAGGCUGGUGGGUGAGCCCCAGGGGUCCUCAGUCUCUGCUUCUCUAGGGCUGAGGUUACAAGUGUGCACCACAGUGCCUGGCAUUUUUUGUGUGGAUUCCGGGGACUGAACCCCAUCUCUUGUACCAGGGAGGCAAGCGUUUUACCAUUCACCAGCCGAUUCUUGGGCUCUUGUCUGACAGUAUAAACAGAAGGAGCAGCGUCGUGGAGUUUCUCUUCUAGUUGUGUAAACAGAAGGAGCAGCGUCGUGGAGUUUCUCUUCUAGUCGUGUGUGCCAUCAGCUCCUCAUCCACAUAAAGCAAGGCUCUCAACUUGUGGGUUCUGACCCCUUUGAGGGAUCCACUGACCCUUCUUACAGGAGUCACAUAUCAGAUAUCCUGUAUAUCAGAUAUUUACAUCGUGAUCCAUAACAGUAGCAAAGUCAGUUAUGAAGUAGCAGUGAAAAUGAUUUUAUGGUUGGGGGUCACCACAGCACGAGGAACUAUUAAAGGGUCGCAGCACCAGGAAGGUUAAGAACCACUGGCAUAUGGGAAUCAACAGCUGGGUGGUGCCUCUCUGGGCACUGUGAGGAUCAGGUGAACUCUGACCUGCUGAGGGCUUUGGAAGCUACACCAUGGACCAUCCCGUACCUGAAAUCCCUUCUCAGGCCUCUAACGUGCAAACUGUGGCCAUCCCUGCACCCUGCAAGCUUCCAGGUCAAAAGUACGCCAGGCGCAGACGGGUUAAGAGCAGAGUGCCCUAUGCGACCAGGAAUGGUGAUCACACAUAAAGCAAGCAUGCCCAGGCUGUCAGUGACCUCACAGGGCCACCUCCCUCCGAUGUGAGACUGGCAACUGUCACCCUGUGAUAAGGGCUGGAGGCUCAGUGUGGAGUUUCCCCCAGCUGGUAAGAGGCUGGGCUGGGAUUUCAACCCUCUGUCAGAUUCCCCCUGUGCCCUGGGCAGGAGCCACGAUGGCGCGCUCCUUCAGCGCUGACCUCCCAGAACCAACGUGCAGUGAAGCUGCUAAGUUAUGCAUGGGCCUAUGGGAGUCAAGACCACCUGCGCACCAAGCUUUUAUUUAACUGUUGUUAAAGGAGAAAUGGAGGAAAUCAUAUUCACUUGGGCAGCAUGAAUUUCAGCCCAGGUGGCCCAAACUGGAGCAGCCCGAGUGGUGCCUGUGGGGCAGGUAUGAGAGAGGGUUUACAGGGGAUUUCUCUAUGACCUAGUUUGGGGAUAGAUCACGGUCAGGGCAGAAAAGUGAACUUGCAAACCAGCGUGUUCUGAGUGCUGAGGGUGAGUUAAUUAGCCAGCUCCCAGCUGAGACUUGUAGAAGGUGGGUGGUGCUGGCCUCUGUGUUUACCAAGUCAGUUCGCCCACUCCACGGUCCGACUCCGGCCAGUGUGAGAUCAGGCUUUUGGCAAUCAAUCCUCUGGGGAAGCUGAGGCUGAGCUGGGGUCUUCUGUAGCCUUCCGUGUGCCAGCCUGCACCGACCUCCAGCAGGCUCUCCUUUGUUCCGAGAUCAGAAGCCAAUCUCAUGGGCUCUCUGGGAGCUGAAGUGAAUUAACACGUAUAAAAACUCAGCUCCGUGGUGGCAUCUGGACUGGCGUGAGGAUCGCCAUCGCUGUGGACAGACGGGCAGACAAGGAACCAAGCUCACAGAGAAAGAGUCUCACAGAGGUAUGGCUGCAGGCGGAGCCAGACCUUUGACCCUCGGUCUCAGGUCUCCCCUUGGGGUGAGACCCAUCACAUCAACUCUUGAAUUGGUGACCCCACGGGGUUCUCACACCCAGAGCUCAGGGACCAUCUAAGGAACAGAAACUCAUUAGGUUGUGAGGCAGAUGCAUAUUCAUCCGUGACAAUUUAGAACAUGCAAUCUUGCCAAGGAGAAGAAAAUAAAACCCAUCAGUGUUCUCACCGCCUGGGGCCUGCCAAGGCUGACGUGUGUAUUUUCAGACUUCGGGGGAAAUGAUAAAACCUAACACAGCGGUGCCCUGCUGGCCCUUAGCCACCAUCCGGGGUUUCUUCAGGGUUUCCUACCCCACAAAAGUGGGCUUCUGAGACCAAUGGUUCUGUCAUGGGGCUGUCCCAUGCACUGAAGGACGCUUCCGAGCAUCCCAGGCCACUAUGUCCACCUGAUUAUCGCCCCUUCAAGCCAGAACUGUCAAAACCACUUCUAGAUAUUUCCAGGUACCAGCUGGCCCUGGAUGAGCAUCUCUAGGUUUGGGGGCGAAGUUGUUUCGACCAGCCAGACCUGACUUCCCUUCUCUGCUUAGAUCAGGCCAGGGAGCCCCAACCUUCCUCUGGGAAACAGCAGACAUUUUCCAGCCUGUGGCACAUGAGGGCUCCGGGGACUGUGCUCACUGCGAGGGAGUCACAGUAGCCUUGGUGAGGCCCAACCUCUCCCAAACACGAAGGGAUCCAGCGAAUCCCCCGUUCCUUUGGGAAGUCCUCUGAUGAAGUUCUGCUUGCCUCAGGGAGGCCACAGGAGCUGGGAUGAAGAGCAGCUCUGGAGACCUAGGUAACAGCAGAGAGAAGACUCCUGGAAGUUGGCCUCUGACCUCCACACACGUGCUGUGCCGUGUGUACCCCACAACUCCCCCCUCCCACCUCGCCACACAAAUCAACAAACAACCUGGGAGUUUUGUGGACAUCGUUACUCAGGGAACCAGUUUCACAAGUUCCUGAGGCAUGCUGGUUUUUACCCAACUGUCAAAAAUCCUCCUAUAGUCCAGGCUGAGCUCAUUUCUGGAUAUUUGGACCGCCUGUGAGACCUGACAGAAUCAAGUUGGAAGAAAAAUCGCAAAUGCAAGAAACCCCUUCUCCCUAAUUGGUAAAACCUUUAUUACCUUUAAUAUUAAAUGUAAACCCUUCUCAAGGCAAAGCUAAACAGGACUGGAGAAAAACUGUCACAAUUUUCAGAGUGGAAUUCACAGAAUUACAAAUGCAGAAAAGAGGCAAGAUAUUUCACUUCAAAUGAUCUCUUCACUUUAUCUCAGA
Long non-coding RNA from Mesocricetus auratus (golden hamster), 3145 nucleotides. RefSeq lists it as uncharacterized. Lineage: Eukaryota; Metazoa; Chordata; Mammalia; Rodentia; Cricetidae. The transcript has 3 exons. The record is from RefSeq and is a predicted model, not a curated record.